Molecule: ribosomal RNA, 292 nt
Filed under: uncultured bacterium
Lineage: Bacteria
Description: partial 16S ribosomal RNA
Rfam family: Bacterial small subunit ribosomal RNA
Source: RNAcentral
GUGUCAGCAGCCGCGGUAAUACAGAGGGUGCAAACGUUGCUCGGAAUUAUUGGGCGUAAAGCGCGUGUAGGCGGCUCGUUAUGUCGGCUGUGAAAGCCCAUGGCUCAACCAUGGAAGUGCAGCCGAAACUGGCGAGCUUGAGUCCUGGAGAGGGUGGCGGAAUGCCCAGUGUAGAGGUGAAAUUCGUAGAUAUUGGGUAGAACACCGGUGGCGAAGGCGGCCACCUGGACAGCGACUGACGCUAAGACGCGAAAGCGUGGGGAGCGAACAGGAUUAGAUACCCUCGUAGUCC